AUUGAACGCUGGCGGCAUGCCUUACACAUGCAAAUCGAACGGUAACGGGCCUUCGGGUGCCGACGAGUGGCGGACGGGCGAGUAAUACAUCGGAACGUGCCCGACCGUGGGGGAUAACGAGGCGAAAGCUUUGCUAAUACCGCAUAUGAUCUACGGAUGAAAGGAGGGGACCGCAAGGCCUUGCGCGGACGGAGCGGCCGAUGGCAGAUUAGGUAGUUGGUGGGAUAAAAGCUUACCAAGCCGACGAUCUGUAGCUGGUCUGAGAGGAUGAUCAGCCACACUGGGACUGAGGCACGGCCCAGACUCCUACGGGAGGCAGCAGUGGGGAAUUUUGGACAAUGGGCGCAAGCCUGAUCCAGCCAUGCCGCGUGCAGGAUGAAGGCCUUCGGGUUGUAAACUGAUUUUGUACGGAACGAAAAGCCUUCUUUUAAUACAGGAGGGUCAUGACGGUACCGGAAGAAUAAGCACCGGCUAACUACGUG
RNAcentral lists this ribosomal RNA (482 nucleotides) under uncultured bacterium. RNAcentral's name for it is "partial 16S ribosomal RNA". It matches the Rfam family "Bacterial small subunit ribosomal RNA", at positions 30 to 507 of the family's 1533-position model. The record is from RNAcentral.